AUUACAUAUUUGCCCUGGGCCUUCUCCUCUCAACGCGUGAGUCGCCGCCGCGAGCCCGCGACGGAAGAAAGAGGCGGAAACGCCGCCACCCCCAACGCCGGAAACGCCGGCCGCUACGCCCAGCCGCCGGGGCUCACCUCCAAGAUGCCGCCGCCACCCGUACUCGCUGGAACCGUCGCCGCCACCCCUCUUUGCCGGAGCCGCCGGCGCUCUCUCCCGACGCCGCUACUCAUAAUUGGGCACCCCAGGCCUGAGACCCAGCAGAAUCUUUGGACAAAAUUUUACAACACUUGUAGUUCAGGCACGCUGCAACUGCUGCAUCUGCCAAAUUGUGCUUAUCCUGUGCAAGAAAUAGCUAUAGAUUGACUCGGCCGGGCAGUAGUACACUAGUUUAUCAAAUUUCAACGUCCAAUCUUCUGGGAAAAGAAGAUUCAGACCAUCAUCUGCCAGAAGAAGUGCAUUCAUCAUCUAAUGCAACAGGACAGUAACUCCUGAGCUAUGCAAACAAGUGAGUUAUAUAAUGCUCAGACAGACAAAGAUCAUCUUAUGUUGAAUUUGGCUCAGUAAUUUUCAGUGGGCAGAUAUGCUCGGACAGACAAAGAAAGGCUGACAGUGUCUUCAGACUUGUUCAGUUGCAGUUCAACUGGAAGAGUAUGUAUUGAGUGUACUCAGUUCUUGAGUUUCAUUUUAUUUACAAAAUCUGAAUUAAUCCUUCAGUAGAAACCAUGUUUGCCGCUGGGCUGCUUGAACCUUCCUGGCUUCAUCUCCUAGUAGAGCAAUAUUUUGUGCGUCAUUGCUGUGAGGUGAUAAUAGGACUAAAAAGUGACAAUAUGGUCAGAUUUUGUGAGGUGAUAAUAGGCCUGAAAAGUGACAAUAUGGUCAGAUUUUGUGCAUGUUGAAAUUCAGAUUUUGUGAUAAUGUUGGAGAGGAAGAAUCCAAGAGCAAUUAGGAUGUGACUUUCAGACCUACAUUCAGAUUUUGACAGUAGUAGCACUCCUUGCUGAAACCUUAGGUUACAGCUUCAUCAAAGCAGACAACUACCAUUCUCAGGCAAACAAAG
Molecule: non-coding RNA, 1060 nt
Organism: Oryza sativa Japonica Group (Japanese rice)
Lineage: Eukaryota; Viridiplantae; Streptophyta; Magnoliopsida; Poales; Poaceae
Source: RefSeq, a predicted model, not a curated record